UUGGCUUGCGUUCGUGUGUGUGUGUGUGUGUGCGUGUGCGUGCUUUAGAACGUUGAUGGGAUCAGUGUUGAGCCACCAGAAGGAGUUAAUGGUCUUUGCUGCUCUUGUAAGUCACACUCACUAAUAAUUGACAGGAGGCCUCACAGUGACACACACUUUUGUGUCCCUGCGGAAAGUUCACUGGGGACAUGAGGAGAGAGACUUUUGGACCGUUCAUACGGUGAUGUAGAAGCUGAAGCACAAAGCAGUCAAACGUGACGGUCUCCAUGGCAACACAGCAUCGCAUCUCUCCCCCAAUUUCCCUUAUGUAGCGGCUCCUUCUCCUUUGGGACUGGUGAGAAGAAGAAGAAGACCGCAGCAGAUCCUCCGCCGUCCAACCCCAAUGGAGACUCGUCCAAAUGUGCUUAAAGGAAUAUGGCGGCAUUGUCACACCAGGAACAGGCAUCAAGAAAACAACGCUACAGUCAACAUGAAGAAGGAAGUUGUGCGAGGAUCCUCGCAGACUGUGACAGCGCCACACACUGAUGGUUCCUGGUACAGGCCAGAGCUGCCAGAUAGAACCUCUCAACACCAAAAGAUGUGGCCUCGCGGUGGUUUGGGCAGCUUCACCCUCACCAAGAGAACCGCCACGCACACUUCCUCCACUGCAUGCACCCGCAGUUCUCCUCCACCGGGGCAGGUCCCCUCCUCCAUCCAGCCUACUUGAGGCCUUGAGUCCUCCACAACAGGAGACAUUUUUGUUCUCUCUUAUGAAUUGCCUGGAUUGCAGGUUUAUUCUCAUUCUGGCAGCAUCCAUGGGACCGUGGAGGUUUGUCAGUUUUGCUCAGGUUUUAUUGGGUUAUGUCAAAGCAAGAAUUUGAUUUUUAUUUUGUCAGUCCAUCUACAGUUUUUGAUACAGGAAGGUUUUUAAACCAAUUCACUAAAAUGAACAGAAAGCAUUUGUGUUGUAUUUUACAAUUUUCAAUUAGAUGGUUAUGUAUUCAGAUUUUUUUUUAAACUUUAAAACAAUUUUUUUAUUGUAAAAUCAAUCCUGCUUAAAGCUAAAAGAUGUUGGGGGAAAAAAAAGUUUUUCACAUUUCCAUGGGUCAACCGUCAAACGCUCGUAAAGCUUUUUUUUUUUUUUUUUAAAUCUUAAAGUUGUGAAGCAAAGUGAAUAAGCUCUGUCCUGAUUGGCUGAGGACUUGACACCCUCAACUGUUUAUUUGAUGAUACACACACACACACACACACAUGCAAGAUAAGAUCAGUCAGCCACACGGCAUCAGCUCAUAAAAUAAUGUAUGAAAACGUGUGUAAAUAUAAAAGCAGCAGAAGCAUA
Molecule: long non-coding RNA, 1318 nt
Organism: Phyllopteryx taeniolatus (common seadragon)
Lineage: Eukaryota; Metazoa; Chordata; Actinopteri; Syngnathiformes; Syngnathidae
Exons: 3
Source: RefSeq, a predicted model, not a curated record